This 253-nucleotide ribosomal RNA is filed under the name uncultured bacterium. RNAcentral's name for it is "partial 16S ribosomal RNA". It matches the Rfam family "Bacterial small subunit ribosomal RNA", at positions 524 to 776 of the family's 1533-position model. The record is from RNAcentral.
UACGUAGGCAGCAAGCGUUAUUCGGAAUUAUUGGGCGUAAAGGGCGCGUAGGCGGCUUGGCAAGUGGAAGGUGAAAUCCCUCGGCUUAACCGAGGAACUGCCUUCCAGACUGCUUUGCUUGAGGCCGGGAGAGGCGAGUGGAAUUCCCAGUGUAGCGGUGAAAUGCGUAGAUAUUGGGAGGAACACCAGUGGCGAAGGCGGCUCGCUGGACCGGUUCUGACGCUGAGGAGCGAAAGCGUGGGGAGCGAACAGG